GAGUUUGAUCCUGGCUCAGGAUGAACGCUGGCGGCGUGCCUAACACAUGCAAGUCGAACGGGGGCAGAUUGAAACCUAGUGAUAUCUGCCCGAGUGGCGGACGGGUGAGUAACGCGUGGACAACCUGCCGCAUGCAGGGGGAUACCGGCUGGAAACAGCCGCUAAUACCGCAUAUGCGCACGGCGCCGCAUGGCGCCGCGCGGAAAGGGAGCGAUUCCGGCAUGCGAUGGGUCCGCGUCCGAUUAGCUGGUUGGCGGGGCAGCGGCCCACCAAGGCGACGAUCGGUAGCCGGCCCGAGAGGGCGGACGGCCACAUUGGGACUGAGACACGGCCCAGACUCCUACGGGAGGCAGCAGUGGGGGAUAUUGCACAAUGGGGGGAACCCUGAUGCAGCGACGCCGCGUGGGUGAAGGAGUAUUUCGGUAUGUAAAGCCCUAUCGGCAGGGAAGAAGCAAGACGGUACCUGACUAAGAAGCCCCGGCUAACUACGUGCCAGCAGCCGCGGUAAUACGUAGGGGGCGAGCGUUAUCCGGAUUCACUGGGUGUAAAGGGAGCGUAGACGGCCAUGCAAGCCAGGGGUGAAAGCCCGGGGCCCAACCCCGGGACUGCCCUUGGAACUGCAUGGCUGGAGUGCGGGAGGGGCAGGCGGAAUU
This 653-nucleotide ribosomal RNA is filed under the name uncultured bacterium. RNAcentral describes it as "bacterial SSU rRNA". It matches the Rfam family "Bacterial small subunit ribosomal RNA", at positions 9 to 668 of the family's 1533-position model. The record is from RNAcentral.